Molecule: ribosomal RNA, 494 nt
Filed under: uncultured bacterium
Lineage: Bacteria
Description: partial 16S ribosomal RNA
Rfam family: Bacterial small subunit ribosomal RNA
Source: RNAcentral
GACGAACGCUGGCGGCGCGCUUAACACAUGCAAGUCGAACGGAAAGGCCUGCUUUCCCUUGUGGAUUGCGGGUACUCGAGUGGCGAACGGGUGAGUAACACGUGAGUGAUCUGCCCCCAACUUGGGUAUAAGCCUGGGAAACUGGGUCUAAUUCCCGAUAGGACUGCAGGGUGGUGCCUGUGGUGGAAAACGAUUUUCUAGUGGUUGGGGAUGAGCUCGCGGCCUAUCAGCUUGUUGGUGGGGUAAUGGCCUACCAAGGCGGCGACGGGUAGCCGGCCUGAGAGGGUGGACGGCCACAUUGGAACUGAGAUACGGCCCAGACUCCUACGGGAGGCAGCAGUGGGGAAUAUUGCACAAUGGGCGGAAGCCUGAUGCAGCGACGCCGCGUGGGGGAUGACGGCCUUCGGGUUGUAAACUCCUUUCGACCGCGAGGAAGCCACCUGGUUGGAAGGGUGGUGACGGUAGUGGUAGAAGAAGCACCGGCUAACUACGUG